AUGAUGUGGAUUAAUCGAUGCAACGCGAAAAACCUUUACCUACCCUUGACAUGUCCGGAAUCCCGAAGAGAUUUGGGAGUGCUCGCAAGAGAGCCGGAACACAGGUGCUGCAUGGCUGUCGUCAGCUCGUGUCGUGAGAUGUUGGGUUAAGUCCCGCAACGAGCGCAACCCUUGUCAUUAGUUGCCAUCAUUUGGUUGGGCACUCUAAUGAGACUGCCGGUGACAAACCGGAGGAAGGUGGGGAUGACGUCAAGUCCUCAUGGCCCUUAUGGGUAGGGCUUCACACGUCAUACAAUGGUCGGUACAGAGGGUUGCCAACCCGCGAGGGGGAGCUAAUCCCACAAAGCCGAUCGUAGUCCGGAUCGCAGUCUGCAACUCGACUGCGUGAAGUCGGAAUCGCUAGUAAUCGUGGAUCAGCAUGUCACGGUGAAUACGUUCCCGGGUCUU
This 447-nucleotide ribosomal RNA is filed under the name uncultured Rhodocyclaceae bacterium. Its description in RNAcentral is "bacterial SSU rRNA". It matches the Rfam family "Bacterial small subunit ribosomal RNA", at positions 936 to 1382 of the family's 1533-position model. Lineage: Bacteria; Pseudomonadati; Pseudomonadota; Betaproteobacteria; Rhodocyclales; Rhodocyclaceae. The record is from RNAcentral.